GACGAACGCUGGCGGCGUGCUUAACACAUGCAAGUCGAACGGAAAGGCCCCUUUGGGGGUACUCGAGUGGCGAACGGGUGAGUAACACGUGAGUAACCUGCCCUUGACUUCGGGAUAACUUCAGGAAACUGGGGCUAAUACCGGAUAGGAAUCCUUGCUGCAUGGUGGGGGUUGGAAAGCUUCGGCGGUUUUGGAUGGACUCGCGGCUUAUCAGCUUGUUGGUGGGGUAGUGGCUUACCAAGGCUUUGACGGGUAGCCGGCCUGAGAGGGCGACCGGCCACAUUGGGACUGAGAUGCGGCCCAGACUCCGACGGGAGGCAGCAGUGGGGAAUAUUGCACAAUGGGCGGAGGCCUGAUGCAGCAACGCCGCGGGCGGGAUGACGGCCUUCGGGUUGUAAACCGCUUUCAGCAGGGGCGAAGCUUGUGGUGACGGUACCUGCAGAAGAAGCACCGGCUAACUACGUG
This 465-nucleotide ribosomal RNA is filed under the name uncultured bacterium. RNAcentral describes it as "partial 16S ribosomal RNA". It matches the Rfam family "Bacterial small subunit ribosomal RNA", at positions 28 to 507 of the family's 1533-position model. The record is from RNAcentral.